Ictalurus punctatus (channel catfish) is the source of this 5473-nucleotide long non-coding RNA. Lineage: Eukaryota; Metazoa; Chordata; Actinopteri; Siluriformes; Ictaluridae. The record is from Ensembl.
CCCAACUCUCAGCGGCGUACUCUUCCCAACGAGGAUCUUGACCUGACGCCGUGUCUUGGUGGGAAAAACAGAUUCGUUACGUCGCCGCGACGCUGUUCCUAACACUCGCGCACGUCGGAUAGAUUUACGCGCGUUUUCAUACUCGAGGAAAAGUGGACCGGAGUCGGGUUCCGGCGAGAUCGUACACACGUCGGAGCAAGGACACGGGUUUAAAAAGAAAGUGGGUGUGACAGAUCGAAACAGAAGGAUGGAAGAGGAUGGAAAGAAGUAGAGAUAGAGAGAUGGAAGAAGGUAGGAAGAACUGACGGGAAGAGAGAAGGAACGAUGGAUAAAAAGAAAGGAAGAAGGGCAGAUGUACAAAAUGAAGAACGGAAGGAUGAGGAAAAGGAGGACUGGAAUACGGAGGCAGGACGGACGAAGUGGGGGGUGGGGGUGGGUGGGGGGGGACGGAUGGAAGGAAGGACACAAAAGGAAGAGUGGGAAAAGAAAGAAAACGAUGGAAGGAGCGCCAGGAAGAAGGGAGAUCAAAAGCGUGAAUGAGUGGAAUGGAGCGAGGGGAAUAAAGAAGGAAGGAAGGAAGAAAAAGGAAAUAAGGAAGGAAGGAGGGAAGGAAAGAAGGCGAGAAGGAAGGAAGGAAGGAAGGAAGGAAAGAAGGAAAGAAGGAAAGAAGGCGAGAGGUAAGGAAGGAAGGAAGGAAGGAAGGAAGAAAAAGGAAAUAAGGAAGGAAGGAAAGAAGGCGAGAAGGAAGGAAGGAAGGAAGGAAGGAAGGAAAGAAGGAAGGAAGGAAAGAAGGAAAGAAGGCGAGAAGGAAGGAAAGAAGGCGAGAAGGAAGGAAGGAAGGAAGGAAGGAAGGAAGGAAGGAAAGAAGGAAAGAAGGAAAGAAGGCGAGAAGGAAGGAAGGAAAGAAGGAAGGAAAGAAGGAAGGAAGGAAAGAAGGCGAGAAGGAAGGAAGGAAGGGCAUACAGACCGAAUGAUAGAAUGAAAGAUAUAAGGAAGGACGGAUUGAAGAAAGCAGCAGAAGGAAGAAUUGAAUGGAUGAAAGGAAUGGCAGAAGGAAGGAGGAAGAGUGAGAAGAAUGCAGGAAGAAGAACUGAGAGUAAAGAAGAAAUGAAAAGACGGAUAGGAAAGCGAAUGUUAGUAAAAAGAAAGAACUGAACAAUUCUGCCACGGUUACAGCUGUAUCUCUCCUUCCUGUUUUCUUUCCUUUCUCUCGCCUCGUCUUUCUCUAUUGUUCUCUGUUUAUCCUGUCUUCUUUCUCUCCUCUUUUCCUGCAUUCUCAUAUCCAUGUCUUUUCUUCAUCCUUCAGUCUGUUAUAUGAAAACUCUCUCUCUCUCUCUGUGUGUGUGUGUGUGUGUGUGUGUGUGUGUGUGUGUGUGUGUGUGUGUGAAAUGUAAACUUUGAAUAAGAGCCGAAAUACUAACUUUCACACCCAUGGGAAAGGAAGUGUUCCAAACACACACACACACACACACACACACACACACACACGCACACACACACACACACACACACACCAAGAAACAGAAGGGUCCAAAUGGAUUGUGUUAAUACUCUGUGUAGCCCGCAAUGCAAUUUUUUCCCAAUUGACCUCCUCACCACCCCCACACACCACACACACUCUCGCCUCAGACGCAAACACACUCAUGUGGAAUACUGAACAGCCACCAGCCACACACACACACACACACACACACACACACACACACACACACACACAGAAUUCUAAAUAACCGAAAAGCCUAUAGGGGAAAAUUCAGACAUAAUGAAACUAUAAACAAAAAAAAAUACAUAAAAAAUGGGGACUAGCAAAAUGCUAAUUAAUGACUUUAUGCAUUUAUAUAUGUAGGCCUAUUUAUGUAUUAAAAAAAAAAAAUCAAUAUUGUCAUUUAUUAUUGAUUUAUUAUUGUUAUAUACUUCAUUAUAUAAUUAUUCAUUACUGUUUGAUUUAUUUCUUUAAAAAACAAAACAAAACAAAACAAAACAACAAAAAAAAACAAUAUUUACCAUCAAAAUAUUUCCACGAGGGCCGUGCUAAAAUACGCUAAAAUAUCUUUGCUGGUUGAUUUGCUCAUUUCCUUGUAUUUGUUUGCAUAGAAAGGUAAACAAAUUAUGCAAACGUAUGCAAAUCAGUCAUUUCAUUUAAAUAAACACAUCUAUAUGAUCAAUAAGACCAAUAAGAGCCUUUUGAUGAAUACAAUUAGGAUUCAAAUAUUUCUUUACUGUGAAGAUGUUCCCAACACUUUUCUGGGACACGGAGUAUUUUGUUGUUGUUGUUGUUGUUGUUGUUGUUGUUGUUUCAUUGUUAAUUCAAGAAAAAAGCAUUCGCAGUUUUCGAUUCUUUACAUUUUUUUUUUUUUUUUUUCGGUUUACGAUUUAACAUUACUCUAUCAAUCAUGAAUAUUUUAGAAAUAAUUCCUCUGUAAUAAUCAUCUAAUUUGGGACAGGAUCGGACGUGUAAAAUUGCACGAAUUCUGAACACACACACACACACACACACACACAAAAAAAAAAAAACGUUUACGUGUUUCUUCUUUAGUAAGGUGUAUAAAUUAAAUCGGCGUGUAUAUCAUAAUGACACGUUUACAUAUAAAGCUAUAUAUAGUGUAUAGUAGAGAUAUGAAAUGACAUGAUUGUGCAAAGUGGGCGGAGCUCAAAGCCUUCUUCAGAGUUGUACAUAACGUGGUAUUUGUGAGAGUCCAAAACCAAAACCGGUCAAAUAAACAUGUUUUAGUUACGUUUUUAAGAGUUUACGAGAUGUUAUAGGUACAACCGAUCCAAAGACAUCGGAACAAUGAUUGAGCAAACUCUGAGUGUUUGUAGCUUUUCGCGUUAUAUAUUUCAAAUGAGAGAAAAUCUGACUGGAACAUUUAGGCUACGUCUCCAGCAAUUACCCCGAAAUCUCCCCGUCGCCUCCGUAUACUUCUCGAAAGUCCGCCAGAGUUCAUUAGUGACUUCAAAAACGGUGAGAGCUGCCUGCUAGCUUUUUUUUUUUUUUUAGAAAAGUCCAUUAUUGAAGCAAAAAAAAAAAAAAGCAGGCAGAGGGAAGAGAAGGGAAGGAAUGAAGAAAUACCAGACAGGUCCUGGCUGCCUCAGGACCUUCAUGCAUCUGUCCAUCUCCUCAUAACAAACCAGACGGCCAUUGUGGUCAGAAAUGUGUGACAUUUUUAAAGAAAGGAGGUUGCCAUCCAGGAGAAAUGUCACCAAGAAACAAAGUUCACAAGACAAACAGCAUGGAAGACCAGGUCUGAUAAAAACCUCAUCUCUGAGAAUAAAGCUACGUCAUUUAUGCGCCAGCGUUUUGUCUUUUGACUAGAAAUAGCGGAAAAACAAUGGCAAGAUCUAUAAAUAUGCAUGAUAUGCAAAUUAGAAAUGCCUCCCAUAUCCCUUAGAGAUAUACAUGGAACUGUUUUUCUCCCCCCCCUUAAGUCCCACUCCUGCUCAUUCCCGAAGGAAUUCUGUCCGGUCCCGUCCAGUCCUGCAGUUAUUAUUUUUGUUUAUACCUUAUUCUCAAAUCAGAAGGCGUGGACUUCUACCUACAUAAUCUACAGCUACUCAUUAUUAAAAAAAAAAAAAAAAAAGUGUUGUUUAACAAAGAAAAACUUAUAGGAAGAGGAAACUUGUCUCGAGGAGGUUACAUAUAAUUAAAUGUUGCUACCAAUGGUUAAAUGUGCAAUGACAUUACUCGAUAAAUUAAAAAUUGUAAUCAUCGCUGAAUCGCCAUGUCACACAUCUAUAUAUAAAUAUCACACGGAAUAUAUCCGGAGUGUGUAUCCUGGGAAAACUGGGCACGAGGCGGGAAUAUACGCCGGAGAGGAUUCCGGUCCAUCACACACGUUGACGACUUGGGGGAAUUCCGAGUCACCAAUCCACCUUCUGGUUUGUUUUGAAGAGGUCGGUGGAAACCAGAAAACCCAGAGGAAACCCACAGGGACGCAGAGAGAAACUUCAAAAAUGAUAUGCAAGGUCACAAUUAAAAAAAACAACUCAAUAACAGUGAUGACUUCUUGUGUCUAGUUUAAAAUCUGUUUAAAUGUUAUGGUUUUUUUUUUAUAUAUAUAUCUUCCGAUUUGACGAUGUAUCGAAGUAUUUCGUAAGUUGACGAAUUCAACAGAAAGCGCAAAUUCACGUAUUUAAUAGAAUAAGUAUUGAUCAAACAGAAUUAUUAAAAAAAAAAAAAAAAAAGAAAUUCUUGGAAUAGAAAAUUCAGUUCCCAGUUUUCCCAGCAUUUAGAAUUAGGAGAACUGUUUUACAACCAGGUUUUAAUCUUCUCUACAGUUCCAUGUUAUAAAAAUGUUUAAAAUAACACUACACCAAUGAUGGAUAACAGCUUAGAUAUAAUUUAAAAAAAUAUAUAUAUAUAUAUAUAUACAUACAUAUUUAUUAGGGAUGCACCGAAUGUUUGGCAACCGAAAUUCGGUGAAAAAAAUAAGUGAAAAGGCCGAAUAAAUUUGACCGAACAAUGACGUGCUUAAUGACGCGCCAAAUAGCCUAGCAACCAGAGUGAGACGUGCGAAUUUCACGACCUCCACUUCGGAGCGAUGAGGGGCGCGCGCAUGCGCGAGCUACGUGCACGAGCGCAUGCUCUUCGGAUGUUGACGACCGUGACAUUGUUUACCGUGGACACGUGCGUUUGUUUAGUUUCUGUUCCGGAGUAUUCCGUCACGUCGCGGGACGUAAGGGAGUAGAGUACGGAAGCAGGUAAAGACGUAUUUAUUUAAAGGCAGGCAGAGAAAUCCGAAUCGUACUCGGAAGAACGUAGUCACAGAAAACAGGGUCACAACACAAAACAAGAAACAUGAGCUAGUGCUAUGGACUGGGAGCGGAACAACCAGCGGGGACUAAACGGACUGAUCUAUAGUUUAAACUAACUAAAUCUAUCAAGGAACAGAACAUUAACAACGUAUCUAACUAUACUGUAUCUACUCUAAUACUCGGCGAGGUGUACAGGGACGCGAGCGGUACAUAUCCCCAGCCGUAUAGAACCCAAUAGAACCAUUUAUCGCACUCUUGUCAAUGCACUUUUUUAUUGUAGGCUUCAGAGUGUUCCAUUCUUUCAGCACUCAGUUACAGGCCUAACACAAUCUAUUCAAGGGGCUCAAAGAUGACCACAUCAAGAUAUUUUUAUUUGACUCAUUUAUUUAUUUAAAGUUAUACCGUGCCUUGUUGGUAGCCCGUGCCUGCUGGAAUGAAAAAAAAAUGUUCAGUGUUAAAUAAAUAUUUUAAAAUUGUAGUUUUUGUAAUUGAUUUUUUUUUUCUUUGAAAAGCAGGACAAAAUAGUAAAAAGCACAUUUUGACUAUUUAAUUUAUGCAACGGUGAAAAAAAUGGUAAAAUAAAUGGAAAAAAAAAAGUGAAAAAACGCGUUCGGUAUUCGACCUUCAGCUUUCGGACAAGUUUUUUAUUAUAUUCGGUUUCCGCUUCCACCAAGAAUUUUCAUUUCGGUGCAUCCCUAAUAGAUAUAUAUAUAUAUAUAUA